CUAGCAUAUCAAUAAGCGGAGGAAAAGAAACUAACAAGGAUUCCCCUAGUAACUGCGAGUGAAGCGGGAAAAGCUCAAAUUUAAAAUCUGGCGGUCUUUGCCCGUCCGAGUUGUAGUCUGGAGAAGUGCUUUCCGCGCUGGACCGUGUAUAAGUCUCUUGGAACAGAGCGUCAUAGAGGGUGAGAAUCCCGUCUUUGACACGGACUACCAGUGCUUUGUGAUGCGCUCUCAAAGAGUCGCGUUGUUUGGGAAUGCAGCGCAAAAUGGGUGGUGAAUUCCAUCUAAAGCUAAAUAUUGGCGAGAGACCGAUAGCGAACAAGUACCGUGAGGGAAAGAUGAAAAGCACUUUGGAAAGAGAGUUAAACAGUACGUGAAAUUGCUGAAAGGGAAACGCUUGAAGUCAGUCGCGUUGUCCGGGACUCAGCCUUGCUUCGGCUUGGUGCACUUUCCGGAUGACGGGCCAGCAUCGAUUUUGACCGCUGGAAAAGGGCUGGAGGAAUGUGGCACCUUCGGGUGUGUUAUAGCCUCCAGUCGCAUACGGCGGUUGGGAUCGAGGAACGCAGCACGCCUUACGGCGGGGGUUCGCCCACCUUCGUGCUUAGGAUGCUGGCAUAAUGGCUUUAAACGACCCGUCUUGAAACACGGACCAAGGAGUCUAACAUGCCUGCGAGUGUUUGGGUGGAAAACCCGAGCGCGUAAUGAAAGUGAAAGUCGGGACCUCUGUCGUGGAGGGCACCGACGCCCGGACCUGACGUUCUCUGACGGAUCCGCGGUAGAGCAUGUAUGUUGGGACCCGAAAGAUGGUGAACUAUGCCUGAAUAGGGUGAAGCCAGAGGAAACUCUGGUGGAGGCUCGUAGCGAUUCUGACGUGCAAAUCGAUCGUCAAAUUUGGGUAUAGGGGCGAAAGACUAAUCGAACCAUCUAGUAGCUGGUUCCUGCGAUCUCUUCCCUCUACCGGUAAAA
This 963-nucleotide ribosomal RNA is filed under the name Pycnoporus sp. (in: basidiomycete fungi). RNAcentral describes it as "Pycnoporus sp. (in: Fungi) partial large subunit ribosomal RNA". It matches the Rfam family "Eukaryotic large subunit ribosomal RNA", at positions 34 to 975 of the family's 3401-position model. Lineage: Eukaryota; Fungi; Basidiomycota; Agaricomycetes; Polyporales; Polyporaceae. The record is from RNAcentral.